RNAcentral lists this ribosomal RNA (253 nucleotides) under uncultured bacterium. RNAcentral describes it as "partial 16S ribosomal RNA". It matches the Rfam family "Bacterial small subunit ribosomal RNA", at positions 524 to 776 of the family's 1533-position model. The record is from RNAcentral.
UACGGAGGGGGCUAGCGUUGUUCGGAAUUACUGGGCGUAAAGCGUGCGCAGGCGGUGAUGUAAGACCGAUGUGAAAUCCCCGGGCUUAACCUGGGAACUGCAUUGGUGACUGCAUUGCUGGAGUAUGGCAGAGGGGGGUGGAAUUCCACGUGUAGCAGUGAAAUGCGUAGAGAUGUGGAGGAACACCGAUGGCGAAGGCAGCCCCCUGGGCCAAUACUGACGCUCAUGCACGAAAGCGUGGGGAGCAAACAGG